This 497-nucleotide ribosomal RNA is filed under the name uncultured bacterium. RNAcentral's name for it is "partial 16S ribosomal RNA". It matches the Rfam family "Bacterial small subunit ribosomal RNA", at positions 28 to 507 of the family's 1533-position model. The record is from RNAcentral.
GAUGAACGCUGGCGGCGUGCCUAAUACAUGCAAGUCGAGCGAACGGACGAGAAGCUUGCUUCUCUGAUGUUAGCGGCGGACGGGUGAGUAACACGUGGAUAACCUACCUAUAAGACUGGGAUAACUUCGGGAAACCGUAGCUAAUACCGGAUAAUAUUUUGAACCGCAUGGUUCAAAAGUGAAAGACGGUUUUGCUGUCACUUAUAGAUGGAUCCGCGCUGCAUUAGCUAGUUGGUAAGGUAACGGCUUACCAAGGCAACGAUGCAUAGCCGACCUGAGAGGGUGAUCGGCCACACUGGGACUGAGACACGGUCCAGACUCCUACGGGAGGCAGCAGUAGGGAAUCUUCCGCAAUGGGCGAAAGCCUGACGGAGCAACGCCGCGUGAGUGAUGAGGGUCUUCGGAUCGUAAAACUCUGUUAUUAGGGAAGAACAUAUGUGUAAGUAACUGUGCACAUCUUGACGGUACCUAAUCAGAAAGCCACGGCUAACUACGUG